UAGGCCCUGAAUCAAGGUUGGUAGCUUCCUGAUGCUGUUGGUUUCAAGCAAGAGCCUAAAGAGAUGUCUUUCAAUGGCUUGUGGCCAUUUCAGAACUUGGGCAGUGAAAUGGUCAAUUCAUUAGAAAGAAACAGCU
Molecule: small nucleolar RNA, 136 nt
Organism: Cavia porcellus (domestic guinea pig)
Lineage: Eukaryota; Metazoa; Chordata; Mammalia; Rodentia; Caviidae
Source: Ensembl